Molecule: ribosomal RNA, 433 nt
Filed under: uncultured bacterium
Lineage: Bacteria
Description: partial 16S ribosomal RNA
Rfam family: Bacterial small subunit ribosomal RNA
Source: RNAcentral
AGCGAACGCUGGCGGCAGGCCUAACACAUGCAAGUCGAACGAACUCUUCGGAGUUAGUGGCGGACGGGUGAGUAACACGUGGGAACGUGCCCUUUGGUUCGGAAUAACUCAGGGAAACUUGUGCUAAUACCGAAUGUGCCCUUCGGGGGAAAGAUUUAUCGCCAUUAGAGCGGCCCGCGUCUGAUUAGCUAGUUGGUGAGGCAACGGCUCACCAAGGCGACGAUCAGUAGCUGGUCUGAGAGGAUGACCAGCCACACUGGGACUGAGACACGGCCCAGACUCCUACGGGAGGCAGCAGUGGGGAAUCUUGCGCAAUGGGCGAAAGCCUGACGCAGCCAUGCCGCGUGAAUGAUGAAGGUCUUAGGAGAGUAAAAUUCUUUCUCCGGGGACGAUAAUGACGGUACCCGGAGAAGAAGCCCCGGCUAACUUCGUG